Molecule: ribosomal RNA, 173 nt
Filed under: uncultured Burkholderia sp.
Lineage: Bacteria; Pseudomonadati; Pseudomonadota; Betaproteobacteria; Burkholderiales; Burkholderiaceae
Description: partial 16S ribosomal RNA
Source: RNAcentral
CCUACCGUUGGCAGCAGUUGGGAAUCUUAGACAAUGCAGCAAGCCUGAUCUAGCACAACCGGCGCAAGCAUGAACCCCCUACGCUUUUAAAGUUCUUAAUCCCUGGGGAAAGUAAACCUCUUUUAUAUCCGAGGAGAAUGACGGUACCGGAAGAAUAAGCACCGCUAUUUCCG